GGCCCUGACACACACUCUCACCUUUUCCUGGACUCCUUUCUGCUCUACCCGAGUCUACCAGCAAAGGCAGACGUCCCUAAUGAACUCCCAAGAAUGCAGUCCUUCUCAGAAGAACAAUCGGAUAACCUGCCAGGACUAAGCUACCCAGGUUUGGUUCAGGGCUGAAGCUGUUUGCCAGUCAUGGAGAGUAAAUGCUCACAAAUCAUCUGGGAGGUACGGACAAGAGAAGCAAGGUCCGAGGAAGCUGACUUGCCUAAGACUUGGGAGGUGCUGACAUUGUGGCUGGUCCAGGGACCACACCUUGAGAACCUUUCCUGCUGGCAUCUAUCCAGAGUGACUGUAGAAAGAGAAUAAGGCUCGAAGCCUCAAGAAAAGAACUGGUCCCGGUCCCUCAGGAUGGUUGUCUGGCCCACUGGGUCUCCUGGAGAGUAUCAUCCGUGAUCCUGGUGCCCCCAGGACCCUGUCCAGAAAGGUGAACUUGUGUUGUUGAGGAUGGACCCCUGGCACCCGGCUUGGUUUUCCUGAGUGAGGCCUUCUGUUGUCACAGGUAUAGCUCUGGUUGUGGGUUGGAGUGUCAAGGGAGAAAGAAGAAGGGAGGCAGCCGGCUAUGCUUGGUGGCCUGGAGGCCUGGAGGGAGUUGAUGGAAAACAUCUGAGCCAAUGGCUCCGUGCACUCAGAAAAUAAAUCCUGGCUUCCGAAGAAGCUGCAGAAAAUUGAUUUUUUGCAGCUUCAGUGGUCAUCCUGAAGGAUUUGGUGGGGCGGAAACUGGGCCCAUUUCUCAUCCCUGUGCUCUGUGC
This is a long non-coding RNA of Neofelis nebulosa (Clouded leopard), 797 nucleotides long. RefSeq lists it as uncharacterized. The transcript has 4 exons. The record is from RefSeq and is a predicted model, not a curated record. Lineage: Eukaryota; Metazoa; Chordata; Mammalia; Carnivora; Felidae.